Molecule: long non-coding RNA, 232 nt
Filed under: Linum usitatissimum (flax)
Lineage: Eukaryota; Viridiplantae; Streptophyta; Magnoliopsida; Malpighiales; Linaceae
Description: long non-coding RNA (LUSI_LNC005180)
Source: RNAcentral
UCUCCUGUGAACUAGUCAAUCAUACCGAUCGAAAACUACGUUAAAUCUUGUGUUAUCUUUUUUUUUUUUUAUUCAAUCUCAGUUUCUAACAUGAUAUCAGAGUCAUCAAUGGAACAAUCCUAUUCCGAUUCUGUUACAGUUCUUUCAAUGGUCGUACUAUGCUCUAUGGUAAUUCUCCUUCACUACUUUAAUUCAAGGAAAAGGGCUUAUGUCCGAUCUAGACGACAGUCAG